This 332-nucleotide ribosomal RNA is filed under the name uncultured bacterium. RNAcentral describes it as "bacterial SSU rRNA". It matches the Rfam family "Bacterial small subunit ribosomal RNA", at positions 568 to 898 of the family's 1533-position model. The record is from RNAcentral.
CGAGUAGGCGGGCCUGCAAGUCAGUAGUGAAAUACCACGGCUUAACUGUGGAACUGCUAUUGAAACUGUGGGUCUUGAGUGAUGGAGAGGCAGGCGGAAUUCCCGGUGUAGCGGUGAAAUGCGUAGAGAUCGGGAGGAACACCAGUGGCGAAGGCGGCCUACUGGACAUUAACUGACGCUGAGGCGCGAAAGCGUGGGGAGCAAACAGGAUUAGAUACCCUGGUAGUCCACGCUGUAAACGAUGGAUACUAGGUGUGGGGGGUACUGACCCCUUCCGUGCCGGAGUUAACACAAUAAGUAUCCCACCUGGGGAGUACGGCCGCAAGGUUGAA